CGUUUGACAACCGUUUGAGGUACACAUAUCAAAGAGGAUGGAGUUACCAAUCAAUUCUGUUUCGUAAAAUACUAGACAAACAUAAAAUUCUCGAACAGUUUAACGAAAAAAAAUCGAACCGUCAGAUUAGCCAAUUACACUGCAUUAUUUGAUUUACAGACACCUUCCAAAAAGUGCUUCAAAGUAGCUCUCACGGCUGAAUACAUAUGUCGAAAACCAAGUAGUUGUGUGUUUAAAGCUGCCAAACGACUAUUUUCUUGCCUCUAAUGUGCAACUAAUUUAUUAACUAUUUAACUUAAUUCUCAAUAUGGGGGAACAGCCAAUCUUUUCCUGCAACGCACACGUAUUUCAUAUUGAUCCUAAAACUAAAAGAACAUGGAUAACGGCUAGCUCGAAAGCUAUUUCUGUUAGUUUUUUUUACGAUUCAUCUAGAAAUCUUUAUCGCAUUAUUAGCGUAGAAGGAAGUAAGGCUGUCAUCAAUUCCACAAUAACGCCCAAUAUGACCUUCACACAGACAUCACAGAAAUUUGGCCAAUGGAGUGAUGUGCGAGCCAAUACAGUGUAUGGUUUAGGAUUCGCCUCCGAGGCGGAGCUUGGCAAGUUCAUCGAAAAAUUUCAAGAAGUUAAAGAAGCUACAAAGAAUGCGCUUAAUAAAUCAUCAGCUAAUGGCAAUUCAGCUGUCACAUCUGCAAACGCUUCUCCUGUUACUGCACGGUCGUCAAUGUCGAACAGUGAUAGCUUUGAUCCGAAUAACAUUGAAGCCCCGAUUACUCCUGCUAGUAACGUAACCGCAACUACCAAAACGGAUAGCCCAUCUCAUCCUACGACUAACGAUGCUCUCAACAAUGCCAAUCCGCUCAGUACAGAUUUAAAGCAAAUAUCUAUAAACUCUUCAUCCAGUGAUGGCAUGACUACUUCAACCGCUGAGCAGCAACUGAAAUAUGAAAAUGAACGAUUAAAACUGGCUCUGGCACAAAGCUCCGCUAAUGCCAAAAAGUGGGAAAUAGAGUUAGCUACCCUGAAAAGUAACAACAUUCGCUUGACGAGCGCUCUACAGGAAUCUACUGCCAACGUAGAUGAAUGGAAACGUCAGUUACAUUCGUACAAGGAAGAAAGUCAACGUAUGAAGGCCCGUUACCAGGAAUUAGAGGCAUCAAAAGGGGGUACUGUCGGCAGCAAUAAUAGUGGACCUAAUGCAGGGAGUACUGAAAUAACAGAUGAUCUUAGACAUGAAAUUUCUUUACUAAAAAGUAGAAUAGAAGAUUUAGAAAAGGAGUUAAUGAAUCAAGAAGUUGAACUGAAAGCCGCCAAUAAGAGUUUAAAAGAAAAACAAAAUGAUCCAACGGUCAAACAGCUUACAACGUUGUGCAACCAAUUCGGCGUACAUAUAAGCGAACUGAGUGGGCUCCAAAAAGAAAUGGAAAAAGUUAUACAGACUAAUCACAAGGCCACUUGAGAAUUAUACGAAAAGAAUAAUUUAAUAAAAACCUCGUCUGAGAAUGACAUCCACAAUACCGAAUACCACGUGAGUGGUAAUAGCCAACUCAUAGAAAACAAUAAUUCUAGCACUAACAACAACGACGAGAUUGACCCUAAAAUGGAUUACAAACAUUACAUACACACUAGCUGUAGCACAUCCGGCUGUCACAGCAACACAUACCAGCAGAUUAACGAUGCUGGACUCAUCGCCAGUUUGAAUGUAGUGCAAAUCAAUAAUGAACCGACUGCUGCAACAUUUACCUAUGAAUUGUACAAGAAUAGAAGAGGGAGCGAAAUGUUUUGAAUUUUAAUCUGGCUGGCGUAGUAUUGGAGUUUCUAUGUUGACCUUUGAUUAAGAUCCAUAGUGCAGGAGAUACUCACCUGGGAGUGAUGGUAAACAUAUGGCAAUACACAGAGUAAUUUACGCAAGUAAGUUUGAGAACGCCAUGCGAACGAGCAAAGCCUCUAUUAUCAUCAAGUACUGCGACUACAAUCGAAAUCGACACUAGUGGAUGGAAUCUACUACCAAAGAUCUACCAAGCACUGUGUUCGGAUUUGUUUCGGUAAACGUUGCAAAUAGUGGAGAAAGCUUCGUCGGACACGAAAAUGUACAAAAACUCAAAUUCUUGUUCGAUUUGGAAAAUCGUUAAACUUUUGGUCGACAAGCUGUGACUAUUCAAGCCGUCAUUCUGAACGGAGAUAAGGAUGAAAAGAUUCAAGAUGUAUUACCUGUUGACGUUGCUCCACUUUCGCUUUGGAACGCGGGUGGCGGGGUAACCAAGCCGAUCGAGCGGAACAGUCGAAUCCCAUAUGAACAAAAUCAGAUGUUCUCGGCUGUUGAAAAUUUCGGUGGGGAAAAUGAAAAAUAGAGAGUAAGGCACCACAAGAAAUUAACUCGAGAAUUGUUUUCAGUUGAAACGGUUGUAGCAGUCCGACGGCAAAACGAGUUACUCCGAUGGUUGAACGGAAAUGCAAUGUUCGAUAAGGACGAGUUUGUGCAUAGCAUGCAAGAACUAAACCGAGUUUGUAGUCCGUUAGUCUAGUAGGUGCAUCCAACAGACUGAUAGUUAUUAAAAACGAACAGGUGGGAUAGGCUCACUAAAAAAACUUAUCCUUAGCAGUUAGGACUAGAAAAAUUGACGCGAUUGAUUCUAAAUCAAGCUGAUUAUAUACCAAUAAUAAUGUAUGUGCGGUGUAAAGAGAAAAAUAAACAAGUUGAAGUACGAGAAACAUUUCCCUAUGAAAACAGUCACGGGCUCAAGUGCACAUGAUUACUUCACGUCGCUCUAUGUCAAUUAUGGAAGUACCAUCCUCUGCGUGUCGAGGUUCGAUUGGUAAGGUUGUAAAAUACUACGUGUCGGGAGGAUCCUGCGUCUUGGAGAUGGAUUAAUCGGUCCAACCGAAAGAAAAAUGUUUGCGAUCUGCUAGUUUCGGGCUAGUUGUUUUCUACCAGGGAUGCUCAUGGUGCGCGUGAUGCGGUGCACUUAAUUUUACUAUCAUCUAGAAAAAGAUAUCACCUACAAAUCAAGUCCACGAAGAUGCACCCAAAACUUCCGAUGUCAUUUCCGGUGCCGCGCCAGGCUAAAAUCAGUGUUAUUAACGUAUCCACUAUUUCUGCAGUUUGACUUUGAGGUUCCUAUUUUUUGACAGUGUUGAGUGAAUCAUUGAUGCGUCAUUGAUGCCAGAUCGAGUUAUGCAAUAGUAUGCAGCAAAAAUCUGAAAAGUCUGCAAGCUACUACAAGAUACUUGCGCAAGAAAAAUUGUGCCAUGAUAUAUUAAAUAAUACAAAAUGUUAAAUACUUGCUGCAAGUGGAUGGUGAAGCCUUUGUAUUACUAAAUAUCUGAAGUCUACAAAAAUUCUGCAGUUUAAUUCAAAACUCUGCAGAUUUGCUGUUGUAUUUGCAAAUUUGGCAUCUUUGUUUCAUUAUAGAUGAAGGGAUGACAAAUUCCCCACAUGAAGUUCAUCCGAAUGGUGUAAAAAUAUGGGGAAAUGGGGCAAGAUAGAUCACCAGCAUAUGGGGUUAAAUGAGCAGUUUGCCGAUUUUUUUUAUUUUUUCAAUAGUUAGAGGCACUUGAGCAUCGCGGCAAUAUGAAAUUUCGACUCAGGGGUAAAAAAGGAAGCAUUUUAGUAUAAAUUUUUUUUGACAAGAAACCUCUAUUCUUGGACAAGAUUUAGAGGACCAACCGUAAUCAACCGUAACACUGGCGGCGCGGAAUGCAUAUUUUAGGCAUGGUCGAAUUAGUGCAAAUUUAUAACACUGUACUGAAGUGUAUCGUACAGCUGAUACGGAAUGUAUAUACUGACAGUGACAGAUGUGACAACAUUAUAAAAACGACGCCCCCAUUAUUGGGUCGAAUCAAAGCUCGUCGAAAUAUCUAUUGUUUGCUCAUUGAGUGUAUUUUUUUUUUUUUGAAAUUAGAGGUUUAACCCUUACGGUCGAGUUUUUCACUUUCCCGAAAACUGGUUUUCAGUCAAAACCAGUUUCUGUAAGAUUUUCGUGAAAACUGGUUUUGAACAAAAAUGUAAACCAAAUCCAUUUCUUCACUGAGCUUUCAAUUGCAGUCGUAGAUUUCGUGGACUUCAAAACUGGUUUUACCGAAAAUCAGUUUUCGCAGUGAAAACAGUUUUCAAAGCUGUGAUCAUACUCCACUACAAAGACAUUGACGUUAAUGAGUAAAUAACUGAACUAGACUGAAUACAAAUGCAGUCAGUUUUCGGUGAAAACCGGUUUUCAUGCUCGUGAAGAAAUUGGCCGUUUCAUCCGUCUCUUUUUCAGGUUAGAAAAAUCUAUAGCACUAUAUGCUAGAAUAGGAAUCGAAUCCAGGUGAGCUGCGUAAAGGGCAACCGAUUUACCAAAUGCACUGUGCCCGCCCUCAUCAUUCUUGUUUACAUUUCGCUAUAGCGUUGCCAAGCAGAACGUUUUGUUUUAUACUUCGAACAGAUUUGUUUUAAAAUUUAAAACUUAUACGACGCUGUUCUAUUUCUUGCUGAUUUUUUUAUUUCGAUUAUAGAGGUUUUAACCUUAAGGUCAUUCACCUCUUCGGGUUAGAAAAAUAUCUUAUGAAAAAUUUCUAACCCUAUGUGCGGGGUCGGGACUCGAACCCAGGUGCGCUGCGUACAAGGCAAUCGAUUUACCAAAACGCUACGCCCACCCCCAUUGCUGAUUUUAAAACACGUUUAGAACUGUGUUUUAAAUACAUAGAGUAUUCACCAUACUUAGACCCGAUAGACUGGGGAAAAAUAAAUUUGAGUCUAGUAACGCUGAAGACAUGGAAAGACACGAAUUUUAAACUAACUAGAGCACCCGCUAAAACUGCUUCUGGGGACAGCAAGCAAAAUUAAGAAUCUAGAACUGAAACAUACCUGAACAUGCCCUAAUAAGGUUACACCACAUCGUUUUUUACGAUGUUUCUACAAAACUCCAAGUUACCAAAACUAGCAGAAAAAUAACUUAGUAAACGAAAGAUUCCAAAAGCUUUGCAUGGGCUUCCCUCUUUACAUCCCCUCGCAAGACCCUCACGCUCGUUUAGCUGCAUUUUUUGACAAUCCUUUUGGCUGCAUUUUUUUGACACUUAGCUAGUCUCUGUAUAGAGUGUCUGUAAUUUCGACGAGUUUUGAUUCGAGCCAAUAAUAGGGACCCCGAUGAACUCCAACGAUUUUGACACCUGGGCGCCAGUCAAUGUAGUGUAUUAGGUUCUUUACUGACACAGCUAACCUCACUUUUCUUGACAGUUCGCUUGUACUGUUUACAUGGACUUAGAAAAAUUUGUGGACGACUAGAUUCGCUCAAAGCAAAUCGUAAAGAAUUUUUCUAAGUCCAUGUAAACAGUACAAGCGAACUGUCAAAAAUGAACACUCAGUUCAUUUGUGACGUCACUGUAAAGUAUUCAAUACAAGUAUAGCGAAGAGUGCACUUUGGUAUUCGUAAGAUGAAUCUUACAUGAGUGGUGUGAGUGAUCACAGAAUAAAUCGACUUGCUUUCGUCAUAUUGUUCGUUCCACUCCUAUUGAAUCGUGUGAACGCUAUGACGUCGACCCGAUGUGCUUCUGGAUUGUUUACAUAUUUUUGGUUGCCGAAACUACAGACUCUCGUAGUAAUAGACCAGCGGAGGUACUUUUAUCGAGCCAAAUAAACUGUCAAAAUCCGGUGCCAAACGAGCAUGACGUCAAAUAAUGCAAACAAGCAGAACAAGUAUUGCGAUUUUAUUUAAAAAAAAUUAUUUUGUUAUUCACACUAGGCUUCACCUUUCA
RNA transcript from Topomyia yanbarensis, 5730 nucleotides. It is a transcript of the gene named homer protein homolog 2, with no coding region annotated. Lineage: Eukaryota; Metazoa; Arthropoda; Insecta; Diptera; Culicidae. The record is from RefSeq and is a predicted model, not a curated record. The transcript is spliced from 9 exons.